AACGUACGCUGGCGGCACGCCUAACACAUGCAAGUCGAACGCAGUAGCAAUACUGAGUGGCAAACGGGUGAGUAUAAUGUGGGAAUCUGCCUUUUGGUUUGGAAUAACACGAGGAAACUUGUGCUAAUACCGGAUAAGCCUUCACAGGGAAAGUUUUAUACGCCAAAAGAUGAGCCCGCACUUGAUUAGCUAGUUGGUGAGGUAAUAGCUCACCAAGG
RNAcentral lists this ribosomal RNA (218 nucleotides) under uncultured Candidatus Pelagibacter sp. RNAcentral's name for it is "partial 16S ribosomal RNA". It matches the Rfam family "Bacterial small subunit ribosomal RNA", at positions 29 to 273 of the family's 1533-position model. The record is from RNAcentral. Lineage: Bacteria; Pseudomonadati; Pseudomonadota; Alphaproteobacteria; Candidatus Pelagibacterales; Candidatus Pelagibacteraceae.